GGCACCAGCAGCAUGUCACAGCCUAGCUGAAGAGACUGUCUCUCAGGAGAGGAUGCUGUACAGAACUUGCACUACAGAUGCAUAACAAUUUCAGAUGGUGAUGUCCCUGAUGGGUCAAACGGCCGUGAAGGAAAGGGGCACAGCGUGCAUGGUGGGUCACUGAGAUAUGACUAAUAUUAGUGUAGAAAGAUGGAAGAACCUGGAAGAGAGGACACACAAGAAUACCAGCCUUUUGGAAAAAGCCCUUCAUUGUCUCCAUCAUUAAUGUCUUGUGACAUGAGAGCAACUGAUGUGAGCAUGCUCUCAUGACUUUGGAGUACCACCAAGCACCCAGAGAGCAAGGGGGGUUGCUGUGGAAAUUUGCUAAAGAGGCACCAUCAACGUGAAAACACCAUCAUUCAUUUCCAGUCAAACGAAAACCAGUGCUGUCCAUGGC
Long non-coding RNA from Zonotrichia albicollis (white-throated sparrow), 436 nucleotides. RefSeq lists it as uncharacterized. NCBI's taxonomy places the organism in Eukaryota, Metazoa, Chordata, Aves, Passeriformes, Passerellidae. The record is from RefSeq and is a predicted model, not a curated record.